Molecule: ribosomal RNA, 92 nt
Filed under: Fluoribacter dumoffii
Lineage: Bacteria; Pseudomonadati; Pseudomonadota; Gammaproteobacteria; Legionellales; Legionellaceae
Source: RNAcentral
UCCUGGCGACCAUAGCGGUUUGGAACCACCUGACUCCAUCUCGAACUCAGAAGUGAAACGAACAUGCGCCAAUGAUAGUGUGAGGCUUCCUC